This 2930-nucleotide long non-coding RNA is filed under the name Taeniopygia guttata (zebra finch). RNAcentral's name for it is "lncRNA (ENSTGUG00000028158.1)". The record is from RNAcentral. Lineage: Eukaryota; Metazoa; Chordata; Aves; Passeriformes; Estrildidae.
UUUUUUUUUCCCUUCUUUCUUUCUUUCUUUCCUGCAGAGGAAAAUCCCGUGAGCACGUUUUUUUAGCCUGCAGAGGAGACAUCCUUCGUAUUGUAUCAAUUGUAUCCGUUUGUCUGCUGGAGAAUGAGCUGCACAAUAAAUCUGUCCUCGAGCACCAUCUGAUGGGGAAAGUCAUGUAUUGACUGAGGACAACAUUUCUUGCUUUUUCAAGGAAACCACAUCUUCAGGAGCGACUGGGAAACUUGCCAAAGCCACAUACAAAUAUUUUGUUUCCAGAUGGACUCUCUGCAGUAUAGACAUUUUAAUGCAUUUUUGAUGAAGAAAGUCCAGUUUUCAGUGGGAAAACACAGUUCCACUCUGAAUUAGGGUUUUCAGGAUUUCCCCUUCAGCUCCUGAGAGGCCUAUAAAUUAAAAUAGGAUAAGAAAGUAGGUAUAACAAGGCCUAGAGGAGAAAGAUGCCCAGUUACCUUUUUAGGCAGAUACUUGAAAAAAACCCAAAGAAUAAUUUGCUGAAAGAGCUAAAAUUUUAAGGGCUGUCCUACUUGUUCUAAAGUAUAAUGCAAAUUCCACUGAAACCAGUUCAACAAAAGAAAACCUUGCUUCAUAACAAUUUAAAAAUUAGAGAAUAUCCUUCUGUACUAAAGCCACAUAGAAAUCACAGGAAAAAACAAAGUUAAAUUUUUUGCCAAAAUAACAUGCCUGCUGUUAUGAAGGGUAUCUUGGGCUCUCUGGAAGCAAACACACUGCACCCUGCACCAACUUUUUCAAGAUCUGCCAAGUCUACCAAUUCCAGACAGCAGCUGCAGCUCCAAGAAAUGCUUUAGCUGGUUGCCAUUUCCAAAACUGUCCAAGUUCUGUCAACAUCCCCCAGCCCCUGAAGAAAAGAUGAAAGAUUUUUAAAUUGGAUGCUGCAAUGCUUUUUGUACCACAAGAGCUCUGGUUCAGUAAAAAUAUUCUUGUUAAUGUGCAUAAAUAUAGCACCCUAAUUGCCACAGGUUUUGUUUAAAAAAGUCAUUUUUUGCCACAAAAAUCUGCCUUUUUCCAAAAAUAAAAAUAAAUUUUAAAUACUUCAUUUUUCCUCUCUGAGACCUCCUAUUUAUUAGAUGUUUGACAGAAUGGAAGACUGGUUCUUACUGUGUAGCACAUCUCAAAAAAUAGUUCCUUGGUGCUGAGAUUUAAAAUUAUUAAAAAUUUGAAUUAAUUUCUCUUUGUAAGUUAAACAGGAAGUUUUCAAGACUUCCCUUUAAAAUAAGCUGUAUAUUCUUUCAUUUCUAAAAGCAGUCUGACCUCCAUUCACAAUCAUUUAAUUCUCAAAGUUCAGGCUCCAGUACGCUCUUACAAGAUUCAUGAUCAGCUCUUUAUGAAUUAGUGUUCAAGAUUAUAGCAAUAACAGCACAGGCAAGUCUUGGAUUGUCAAAUGCCAAAGUACCAGGCUUUAUAGCCUGGAUCAUUUGCCCAAGAGUAUCCUGCAAUACCCAUAACCAGAUUGGCACUGGCAGCACCCACAGAGGUUCCCAGCAGCAAAAAUGUAAUGGCACUACAUGGAACCUGAAGUAAUGAGCAAGCCAGGUCAUAAACAGUGCUACUCCUAUUUUGUUGCUUCAUUAUCUGCUCAAUAAUCAACUUGUUCUCAGAAGAUGAGAAUGAUACUGACCUCUGUGAUGGUGCUGCAAUGAGUAAAUUCAGAAGAAAGAAAAUUCCAAAAAAUGGAAGACUGCAGAAGUGGUGUACUGGGUUUUUAUGGCAAGGUUUUGGUAGCGGGGUGAUAUAGUGGUGGCUUCUCUGAGAGGCUGCCAAAAGCUUUCCCUUUGUCUACUGAGCCCAUGCCAGCUGGCUCCAAGGCAGACCCACCACUGGCCAAGGCCAAGGCAAUGAAUGUCUAAUAACAUAUUAAAAAAGAAAAAAAGAUGUUAUUUUGUAGAAGCAGUUGUGGCCAGAGAAGAGAGGAGUGACAGAAACAACCGAGGGGAAGAAGUGCUCCAGGCUCUGGAGCAGAGGUUCCCCUGCAGCCUAUGCUGAAGAACACGGUAAGGCACCUGUGCCCCUGCAGCUCAUGGAGGACCACAGGGAGCAGAUACCACCUGCAGCCUAGGAAGGACACCCAUGUCACAGCAGGUGGAUACCCAAAAGAGGCUGUGACCUCUUGGGAAGCCCACAGGGGAGCAGGCUUCUGGCAGGACCUGUGGAUCCAUGGAGAGAAGAGCCCACAGCAGAGCAGGUUUGCUAGCAGGACUUGUGCCAGCAAACUUGGGGGACUUGCACUGGAGCAGAGCGUUCCUGAAGGACUGCACCCUGUGGUAAAGGCACCCACGCUGGAGUGGUUAGUGAAGAACUUUAGCCUGUGGGAAGGACUCACAUUGUAGAAGUCUGUGGAGGACUAUCUCCUGUGGGAGGGACACCAUGCUGGAGCAGGGAAAGGACUCUUCUCUGAGCAGCAUCAGAAGCAAUGUGUGAUGAACUGACCAUCUCACCACUCCUUGUCUCCCUGUGCUGCAGCAGGGGAGGAAGUAGAGUAGAGAUUAGGAAGGAGGGAGGAGUGGCAGGAAGGUGUUUUUAUUAUUUAUUUUACUUCUCAUUAUCCUGCUCUGAUUUUGAUUGGUAAUAAAUUAAAUUAUAUCUCCCCAAAUUGAGUCUAAUUUUCUCAUGACAGUAAUCAGUGAGUUAGCUCUCCCUGACCUUAACUCACAAGUCUUUUGUUAUAUUUUCUCUCCUCUUCCCUGUCCCGUUCCAGUUCCAGAGGGGAGUGGCUUUGGUGGGUACCUGGUGUCCAGCCAGGGUCAACCCCCACCACAACUGAUAUGUUUAAAAAGGAUCACUUUUAAGGAUCUCUGAAGUACACAGCCUACCCCAACAGGGAAAAAAAAAAAUCUUACCAUUGCUUCGUUAUUUAAAGGCAACAAAAUCAGUAUGUAUUUUGGGGAAGGGCAAAG